Molecule: long non-coding RNA, 1157 nt
Filed under: Olea europaea subsp. europaea
Lineage: Eukaryota; Viridiplantae; Streptophyta; Magnoliopsida; Lamiales; Oleaceae
Source: RNAcentral
CCGAAAACGACUUUUCACUCUGCGCGACAAUUUGAGUUUCUUCUCCAUCUUGGACUACUUUGACAGGUCCAUAAUUUCCUUCGUACAUGAACCUUUCCACUGAGUUUGCUUCUAUGACAAAAGGCCUAUGAUCGGCCUGCACCACCUCUGCUUCGCCCUUGUCAUUCCAAAAAACUAGGCAUUGAUGGAGCGAUGAGGGUAUAUAGCGGUUUCCGUAUAUCUAAUCUCUUCCUAAUAACACAUUGUAACUAGUGGGACCAUCUAUUACAAAGAAGACUGUGGUUCUAGUAGUUGUUCCUAUAGUUAUGUCUAGUGGCAUAACCCCUUUAGUUGAAGUUGCUCCUCCAUUGAAACUUGUCAAGAUGACUUCCGUUGGGAUCAUAUCACCUUCUGUCUUUGCGAAUUUCCUCAUCAUCCUAGAUGGAAUGGUGUUUGUAGCUGCUCCAUUAUCGACUAGCACUUUUGCCACAGGUAUGCCGUUAACUAGAGCUUUAACGUACAAUGACCUCAAGUAUUUGGUCAAUUUCAAGGCUGGUCGCAUAAAAAUAACUUUUUCGGCAGCAUCUAUUUCCACUUCCUGCUUGUCCUCUGUCGAGUUACCCUUUUGUGAUAAGUUAACGUGCAGUCUCUGUCUCCUAAAUUUCUUUUUACUGUUUUCUAAUACUUUUUCUUCAAUUACCCAACCUGUGGGAGGAGGCAUUAUUCUUGGAGGUGAUCCAUACUUUUCAGAGCGAGACACUCUCUUCUUCCUUUUGGGCGUCCCGUACAGCAGGUAAUAAUCGAAAGAACACUAAGAUGGUUCUCCCAAUAAGUCUACUUCACGAACUCCCUCUCGAUGUAGUUGUUUCAACAAAGUAUUGUACGAUACUCCUCUUCUUCUCCUUUCUACUUCCAGAUCGAUUUCCUUUUCGAUGUCUGUCAUACCAUCAUCUUCUUCACCAUUGUAGGCCUCUCUAGAAGUUUGACCUUCUUCAUAUUCCAGCAUGCAUGUUUCCUCUUCGUUAUCUUCCUUUUCUUUAUUCUUGAACUCAUUGGCUAGUAAAUAGUUAUUAGCCACGAUAGGAGGUAACGUACCAAACUGAAUAGUAAGGGGCUGAUCUGGAUCUUCUCCAUCCCUUCUGUCUUGCUCAAAUUUUGACCUCCCAAAAGAAGUCUCU